This 482-nucleotide ribosomal RNA is filed under the name uncultured bacterium. RNAcentral describes it as "partial 16S ribosomal RNA". It matches the Rfam family "Bacterial small subunit ribosomal RNA", at positions 28 to 523 of the family's 1533-position model. The record is from RNAcentral.
GACGAACGCUGGUGGCGCGCCUAACACAUGCAAGUCGAACGAGAGAGGAAGAGCUUGCUUUUCCGAUCGAGAGGCGAACGGGUGAGUAACGCGUGAGGAACCUGCCUCAAAGAGGGGGACAACAGUUGGAAACGACUGCUAAUACCGCAUAAGCCCACGGCUCGGCAUCGAGCAGAGGGAGAAGGAGCAAUCCGCUUUGCGAUGGCCUCGCGUCCGAUUAGCUAGUUGGUGAGGUAACGGCCCACCAAGGCGACGAUCGGUAGCCGGACUGAGAGGUUGAACGGCCACAUUGGGGCUGAGACACGGCCCAGACUCCGACGGGAGGCAGCAGUGGGGAAUAUUGCACAAUGGGGGAAACCCUGAUGCAGCGACGCCGCGUGGAGGAAGAAGGUCUUCGGAUUGUAAACUCCUGUUGUUGAGGAAGAUAAUGACGGUACUCAACAAGGAAGUGACGGCUAACUACGUGCCAGCCGCCGCGGUAA